Molecule: ribosomal RNA, 755 nt
Filed under: Vreelandella aquamarina
Lineage: Bacteria; Pseudomonadati; Pseudomonadota; Gammaproteobacteria; Oceanospirillales; Halomonadaceae
Description: bacterial SSU rRNA
Rfam family: Bacterial small subunit ribosomal RNA
Source: RNAcentral
UGGGAUGGGGGCAGCUACCAUGCAAGUCGAGCGGUAACAGAUCCAGCUUGCUGGAUGCUGACGAGCGGCGGACGGGUGAGUAAUGCAUAGGAAUCUGCCCGAUAGUGGGGGAUAACCUGGGGAAACCCAGGCUAAUACCGCAUACGUCCUACGGGAGAAAGGGGGCUUCGGCUCCCGCUAUCGGAUGAGCCUAUGUCGGAUUAGCUAGUUGGUGAGGUAACGGCUCACCAAGGCCACGAUCCGUAGCUGGUCUGAGAGGAUGAUCAGCCACAUCGGGACUGAGACACGGCCCGAACUCCUACGGGAGGCAGCAGUGGGGAAUAUUGGACAAUGGGGGGAACCCUGAUCCAGCCAUGCCGCGUGUGUGAAGAAGGCCCUCGGGUUGUAAAGCACUUUCAGCGAGGAAGAACGCCUAGCGGUUAAUACCCGCUAGGAAAGACAUCACUCGCAGAAGAAGCACCGGCUAACUCCGUGCCAGCAGCCGCGGUAAUACGGAGGGUGCAAGCGUUAAUCGGAAUUACUGGGCGUAAAGCGCGCGUAGGUGGCUUGAUAAGCCGGUUGUGAAAGCCCCGGGCUCAACCUGGGAACGGCAUCCGGAACUGUCAAGCUAGAGUGCAGGAGAGGAAGGUAGAAUUCCCGGUGUAGCGGUGAAAUGCGUAGAGAUCGGGAGGAAUACCAGUGGCGAAGGCGGCCUUCUGGACUGACACUGACACUGAGGUGCGAAAGCGUGGGUAGCAAACAGGAUUAGUUCCCUG